This is a long non-coding RNA of Propithecus coquereli (Coquerel's sifaka), 604 nucleotides long. RefSeq lists it as uncharacterized. The transcript is spliced from 3 exons. The record is from RefSeq and is a predicted model, not a curated record. Lineage: Eukaryota; Metazoa; Chordata; Mammalia; Primates; Indriidae.
AGCAACCGAAUUAAAAAAAGAAAAACUUUAUAGAGUUGGAUAUAAGGACGAUAAGCAUCUCUCGGACGGUUAUAAAGCCAAGCAAACAGUGACACUGCAAGUGUGAAUGAUAAAAUUCUGAAACAAGAAAAAAUCAAGCUGUUAAUGACAGAAGGAAGCCACAUCCCCGCAGGGGAGAGGACACCGGCACUCAGUGCACGUCUGCGCCUGGGCCCCGUGGCACCGACACCAGUCCAGCUGUGGGCUUUGGCCUGGGUCGAACCCUCCUCAGUCUUCGCAACGGCUGUGAGCCCGAGGAAACAGUCGGGGAGGGUCUCAGCUGGUGCUGAGGGGCUGCCAACCUCAGGGCAGCAUCUCCAGGGUGCCAGGAACUGGGCGGCUGCCCGAGUUUACGCAGAAGACUGAGGAGUGAGGAGGUCAUGGUCGAGCCGCGGACGCCCGCCGGACAGGUAAGCGGGGGAGGACGGGCAGCGCUCAGCCACAUGUGAGCAGAGUGCAUGCAUGGGAUCCCACCCCAGCAAGACUUUAAAAGAGAGAAGUGAUUUCCCCAAGGGGGUCCUUUCUGCGGCCGCAGAACCAGCAAAGCUCACCUUCCCACCUGGCG